RNAcentral lists this ribosomal RNA (516 nucleotides) under uncultured bacterium. RNAcentral describes it as "bacterial SSU rRNA". It matches the Rfam family "Bacterial small subunit ribosomal RNA", at positions 8 to 521 of the family's 1533-position model. The record is from RNAcentral.
AGAGUUUGAUCCUGGCUCAGAUUGAACGCUGGCGGUAUGCUUUACACAUGCAAGUCGAACGGAUCAAGAAGCUUGCUUCUUGGUUAGUGGCGAACGGGUGAGUAAUAUAUCGGAACAUAUCCGGAAGUGGGGGAUAACGUAGCGAAAGUUACGCUAAUACCGCAUAUGCCCUGAGGGGGAAAGGGGGGGAUCGCAAGACCUCUCGCUUUCGGAGUGGCCGAUAUCGGAUUAGCUAGAUGGUGAGGUAAAGGCUCACCAUGGCGACGAUCCGUAGCUGGUCUGAGAGGACGACCAGCCACACUGGAACUGAGACACGGUCCAGACUCCUACGGGAGGCAGCAGUGGGGAAUUUUGGACAAUGGGCGAAAGCCUGAUCCAGCCAUACCGCGUGAGUGAAGAAGGCCUUCGGGUUGUAAAGCUCUUUCAGCCGGAAAGAAAUCGCAUUCCUUAAUACGGGGUGUGGAUGACGGUACCGGAAGAAGAAGCACCGGCUAACUACGUGCCAGCAGCCGCGGU